Long non-coding RNA from Helianthus annuus (common sunflower), 248 nucleotides. RefSeq lists it as uncharacterized. Lineage: Eukaryota; Viridiplantae; Streptophyta; Magnoliopsida; Asterales; Asteraceae. The transcript is spliced from 4 exons. The record is from RefSeq and is a predicted model, not a curated record.
AUACAGCAACACAUCUGCAGCAAUGGAUAUCUCGGAUGACUUCGUGGACAUUUAGAAGACGAUCAGCCUGCAAAGAAACUGGGUUUUGAUGCAAUGACACCGAAGAAGAAUCAAAUAUGCAGCCCAAUGAAAGAUUCUCCGAAGACGGACAGUGGAAGUGUAGAGAUCAUUUCAUAUGGACAGUAUUUUAGUCCAUUCAAAUCUGAAAUGCAUAGGGAGGUUAUUGAACAGUUUCAGAACAUAGAAAA